AAUUCCUCUUUAAAUUCAUGGACAAUAACUUAGACAAGAGUACUAGUUAGUUUGAAGAAAGGGAAGAAAAGAUAGGAGUAAAAAACAUAUAGAAAUAAUGUACUAGAUUUUAAGUUCAUAGUAGAAAAUAAAAGCAGCACCACUACUAGUUAUAAUGUUCAAAGACUUGUAUUGUCCAUAGUAAAGUGCAUCUCUCCUUUAAAAUAAAGGAGAAGACUAAAUAUAGUAAUCUCCCAAAAUAAAAGGGUGGUUAAAAAAAAAUAUUUCAAGCUGAAUGAAUAUAUUACUAUAACUUGUUAGGCUAUAGUAAUUAUACACUAAAGCUUCUAGAUGUUUGAACUCUGGAUUAAAUACAAGUUAUUCAAAGAUGAUUAUUGAUAAACCACCCUUUACAUAUUCUAGCCUAUAUGUUUAUCCACUUAAUACGCAGAUACCACCGGCCUCCUUAAUUUUCUUCUCAGCCUUCUUAGAGAAGUGUCUAGCUCUGACAACAACUGGAAGAUUGGGUAGAUUACCUCCACCUAAGACCUUAAAGAUACCAGACUUAGUACAGUCAAUAAUUGGAGCCUUGUCAGUCUUGUUAUUGUACUUGUAGUGUUCAAGAGUGUUCUUUGACACCAAAGUCCAUAACUUUUCAACAUUGACAGUAGGACAGUACAUCUUGUUUAGCCUUUUGUGGAAAUAUCUCAUACCAACUUUACCAAAGUAGCCUGGAUGGUACUUGUCAAACCAGUUUCUCUUAUGUGUUAAACCACCACAAGCACCACGACCACCAGGAUGCUUUCUGUGUUUACCUACACGACCAUGACCGGCUGAUACGUGUCCU
RNAcentral lists this non-coding RNA (826 nucleotides) under Cryptosporidium parvum. The record is from RNAcentral. Lineage: Eukaryota; Apicomplexa; Conoidasida; Eucoccidiorida; Cryptosporidiidae.